GGGGGCGGGGCUCCGGGGACACUCUCCCUCCCAGCCUGGCUCAGAGACCGAGCGAGGAGAUCCCCGACCCCAGAGCCAAGAUGAUGAGCUGCGGCCUCCUGACCAGCUCCAAGGAGCCGGGCAUAGGAGCUGUAUGGGGAUGCGCUGGCCGGGGGGCAGAGCUUGUUCCUGCUGCAGCAGGAGGAGGCCGGGGGCCACGUGUUCAGCUGCUCUCUGGGGAAUUUACCCCCCGGGGAGGAGGCGAUGCUGACCCUGAGCUA
This is a non-coding RNA of Caretta caretta (loggerhead turtle), 260 nucleotides long. The record is from RefSeq and is a predicted model, not a curated record. NCBI's taxonomy places the organism in Eukaryota, Metazoa, Chordata, Testudines, Cheloniidae.